Molecule: long non-coding RNA, 218 nt
Filed under: Pelobates cultripes (western spadefoot toad)
Lineage: Eukaryota; Metazoa; Chordata; Amphibia; Anura; Pelobatidae
Source: RNAcentral
GCUAGAGUGAGUGUUAGUGUGUGUGAGUGUUAGUGUGUGUGAGUGUUAGUGUGUGUGAGUGUUAGAGUGAGUGUUAGUGUGUGUGUCUGCUAGUGUCAGUGAGUGUGUUACUGUGUGUGUCUUACUGAGUGUGUGUGUUAGUGAGUCUGUUUGAUGUCUUUUAGUGAGUGUGUGUUUGUCAAUGAGAGUGUAUGUUUUGUAAGAGAGUGUGUAUGUAU